CCUACGGGUGGCACCAGUGGGGAAUAUUGGACAAUGGGGGGAACCCUGAUCCAGCCAUGCCGCGUGUGUGAAGAAGGCCUUUUGGUUGUAAAGCACUUUAAGCGAGGAGGAGGCUCUCUUGGUUAAUACCUGAGAAGAGUGGACGUUACUCGCAGAAUAAGCACCGGCUAACUCUGUGCCAGCAGCCGCGGUAAUACAGAGGGUGCGAGCGUUAAUCGGAUUUACUGGGCGUAAAGCGCGCGUAGGUGGCUAAUUAAGUCAAAUGUGAAAUCCCCGAGCUUAACUUGGGAAUUGCAUUCGAUACUGGUUGGCUAGAGUAUGGGAGAGGAUGGUAGAAUUCCAGGUGUAGCGGUGAAAUGCGUAGAGAUCUGGAGGAAUACCGAUGGCGAAGGCAGCCAUCUGGCCUAAUACUGACACUGAGGUGCGAAAGCAUGGGGAGCAAACAGGAUUAGAUACCCUUGUAGUC
This 466-nucleotide ribosomal RNA is filed under the name uncultured bacterium. RNAcentral describes it as "bacterial SSU rRNA". It matches the Rfam family "Bacterial small subunit ribosomal RNA", at positions 338 to 795 of the family's 1533-position model. The record is from RNAcentral.